This 24909-nucleotide long non-coding RNA is filed under the name Lupinus angustifolius (narrow-leaved blue lupine). RNAcentral describes it as "long non-coding RNA (LANG_LNC000755)". Lineage: Eukaryota; Viridiplantae; Streptophyta; Magnoliopsida; Fabales; Fabaceae. The record is from RNAcentral.
UGUUUAUAACAAUUACGUAAAAUUUCAAGAAAAAUUUAUUAUGGUCACCAUGCAAUUGUGGAUAAUUCUAUAACGAUAAUAUUGUGACUGCAAUUAUGGUUGCCGAAUAACUUGUAAUAUUUUUAUUGACUAACCCUUUUUAUUGAAUUUUGUGCAUGGUAUUAGGUGUGGCCACCCAUUGGGUUGAAAAAGUUUGAGACUCUUUCUUACUUGCCACCACUCACCACAGAGUCUUUGGCAAAGGAAGUAGAUUACCUUAUUAGGAAUGGAUGGGUUCCUUGCUUGGAAUUUGAGUUGGAGGUUAAUUUUCCUUCUGCCUCUUUCUCUUGUUUUAGAUGUUACUCACACAUACAUGAUUAUUUUGUAUUUAUCAUAAUUAUAGAAAAUUGUAAGAAAAUGUUAUUGACUAAGGAUUAUCCAUGGGAGAGAAAGGUGCUACAUAAAUAAAAGGAAAAACAAUAUCCAAAACACUUUUAUCAUUUUAUUCACAAAAUAAUAUUUUUGUCACAGAACUUCACACUCCAAUAAUAAAGUGAAAGUUGAGGUCUAUAAUUUAAAGCAAUAAAUUUACCUCUUUUCUUUAUAUCUAACUCCGAGUGAGACAUAUCUCAAAUGCUAGAGAAAAUGAGAUCUAGAGUAGGAGGAUAUUUUAAUCUUUUAAAUUGUGGGUACAAGAAUUACAUUGCAUUUAUUACUACUUAUUACAAUUUGGGUUGGUGUGCCAUUCCCUAUAUCACAUUGUAAUUUAAAACAUUAUACAUUUUACUAAUAGGGUUAUCAUUAUUGCAUUUGUUACUAUGAUUAUUGUAAUGUAAAACAUUAUACCUUGUAGUAAUAGGCAUAACACCAGUAUCACAAACUUUCUAACAGCAUUAUGUUAUUGACUUUAAUUUAUCAAUAACAUUAUUAAUCAUCCCAAUCAUAGCACAACUAUGCCAUAUAUAUCUCAUGAGACACCAUAUAUUUCCACCUAUGCUAUAGUACAACACAUCCUAAAUAUUAACAAUUUUUUUGGUACUACCAAUAUUAUUCCCACAUUUUGGGUAAGAUACUAAUUCUUUUUGGGAUGUACGAUUGUCUCACCCAACAAGUGUCACUCACGAGAAUUGAACCCUAACCUUUUGGUCAUUUUGGGAUCUAACGUAGUCUUACACUAGUAGAUCAAUGUCGUGUUGGUAAUAAAUGUUAACAAAUAAUGAAAAGAUGGUAUUAUAGAUUCUUAAUUAUGAACAUUGAUGGGUAAUUUGUUUGUUUAUUUUGCAUGCUAUGUGUGUGUAUAGCAUGGUUUUGUGUACCGUGAGCACAACAAAUCACCAGGAUACUAUGAUGGAAGAUACUGGACAAUGUGGAAGUUACCUAUGUUUGGAUGCACUGAUUCAGCACAAGUGUUGAAGGAACUUGAAGAGGCUAAGACGGAAUACCCAAAUUCCUUCAUUCGUAUCAUUGGAUUCGACAACAAGCGUCAAGUUCAGUGUGUCAGUUUCAUUGCCUACAAGCCCCCAAGUUUCUAAGUUUCUUAAAUUUGCAUGCAAUUUGUACUUAACCAUUGUCAUGAGAACUACCUUUUGUUUUUAAAUUCCAACCAUGUUUGUUUGUAAUUUUUGGUUUUUGAGGUUUCAUCCUGUACUUUGGUUUCUGAUUUCGGAUUUCAUCGAUGGAUGAGAACUUAUGAAUAAAAUGUGUCUUUUAUUGUCAAGAGAAACCCAUUAUCCUUUAUUUACUUGCAGAUGGGUUGAAAUUAUGCUUAUUAGAAGGAAAAAGCUAUGAGAUUGUCUAUAAAAUAAACAAGCAAGGAUAUAUCAAUAUAUGCAUUUUAUCAAAUUAAUAGUGGAUAUAUCUUCAUUUGUUUAAGGUAUUAGAGGAUUAUGUUGAGAAUUAAGUUUCACAUUAUCUGCCUUAUUCUCUUAGGUGUAGUUUGAAUAGGUUAUUCCUCAUUGAGAUGAAAACUUACAUAGUCUAAUGUGUUAAACAUUAGUUAAGAAGGGCUUUUACUUUGUCACACAUUUCAGGCAUAAAUGUUCUUAUUAUUUGGUCCUCCAAUAUAUCUAAAAACAUAGUGCACACAUGCAGUUUCUUCAAAAUAAUAAUAAAUUAAAUUUCUACACAUUGUCAAGAAGAUCCUAAACUUCAAAAAUCAAAUAUGAAUGAUAGAAUUCUUGGUUACCAUGGAUAUUUUUAUAUUUUUUAUUAUGAGUAAUAUUUACAUACAACUUUUGCACUUUCUUAAUGGGAUAUAGUUGUGAAGGGAUAGUAACUUAUCUUGACUCUUUGGGCUGCAUUAAUGCUUAGACUUGACCCUUUAGGUAUCUAUAUUUGUGGACAAGGAUUCAUUAAGAUAAAGAACUAGAUAAGAACUGCUACCACCUUUAACACCGGAAGACCCUACGUUUAUCAAACUUGACAAAUACAAGGACCAUAGGAUUUCAUAUAUACCUUUGGAAACUUGAAAUUAUGUAGGACACGCUCUAUUCAUGCUUUACACAAUUAUACUUCAAUUUAAGGAGAAUAAUAGAGAAAACUUUUUUCCAGGGAGGCAAAACUUAUUAUAAAAUAUUUUAAGAGAGAUUAGUCUUAACAAAAUAUUUGAAGAGAACAUUUUAAAAAUAAAGACCAGAUGGCCUUGCUAAAUAUGUGUGGAAGGUCUAUCUUUUUUAUUCAUUAUUUAUGCACUAAUAGUAGUGGAAAAGUUUUUAUAUUGUUGAUGUAUCAUUCACCCUUUAUAUUUAAUUAUUAUUAAAUUUUAAAUGUAAAUAAUACAAAUGAAUAUUAGAUUAUAUACUAGAGUGAAAAAAUUAUACUCAAUAUUGCACUCUUUUACUAUAGUGUCUAGCUUGAUUAGGGAUGGCAAGUGAAUAGAUCAAGGUUGGGUUUGUAUUUGCCUAACCCGAACCCGGCCAUAGCAAGACUAAAAAAAUAGAUUAUCAUCCUCGCCCACGUUUGAUUCAAGUCAUUCUAACCAUAUCAAACUCACCUAGUGUUCUUCUACGUGGUGUCAGAACUCAGAAGGUUGAGGCGGGCAGUAGCCGGGCUAGAGGUCUUUCCUUAAGUUCCCGAGCUAAGCUUGGGUCGGGCAAUAGAUGGGCAAGAGUACUGCUUGGAGUUGCUUGAGUUGAGCUUGGGCUGGCAAUAGCAGGGAAGGAUAAAGGGUGAUAAAUGGCAAGAGUAAUAGCUCAACAUAUAUGGGAAUGAUGUUCUUCCUUAUAGGGUAGAUCCCAUAAUUAUAGUGGGGUGGAUGGAAUAUUCUCUUGCUAAUGAUAUUGGCAUGACCGACCAUUUGGGUUUGUCGAUCUACUUUGACUGAUUUGGAGACUGCUCUAUCCAUGUCUGGUGGCCUGAUCAGACUAUACUUUGAGUAUAGUUAACUUAUAGCCUGUAAUAGGCUUAGAAGCCGUAGUUUAGACAUGUCCUUUCUAUAAAGCAGUGAGUUAGGUGAGAGUUGCAGGCGACAUGCAGCAUGUGUCUGUCGUAGGUGGUGUGGCAACCAUGUGUUGGCAGAGUGACAGAGAGGUGGCAGAGGUUUGGUCAAGUAUAGGCUCAUGGGAUUGUGUCUGAGCGACGAUGGGUCUUCUGGUGUAGUUCGGUUGGUCAGCUUGCACCAUAAGUCCUUGUAGUAUAAGUCCUCAUCAGGCACUCGACCUUGGCCGACCUUGAGUACCCUAGCCCAGUUAAGAGUAGAGCAAUUUAACAGAGGUGGAACACCUGCAACAUACUACUUAUAUUUUUUCUCUGUUACUCAUAUGUUAUAUAACUAGAACAAUACUAUAAUUUGAAAUUAAUUAUAUAAAUCGAGUUUAAGUCAGGUUAAGGGUCUAAUAUCACCUAUACCAAAUCCGAACCUAAUAUUUUAAAUUAGAAAAAACUAUAAUCCAAAAAAAUGAGUUUUAUUUGUUAAAUUUGUGCUAAGUUCGAAUAAGUACCCACAAAUUUUAGUUAUGUUCUUAUCCUUCAGCAAGCAUAAGUGAGAUCAUAACUUUACUAUUAGGUUAUGAUUAAGACUAUCAUUUUAAUGUGUCACGACUCAUAUAACUUUUACUUAUCAUGAGAUUGAUUUCUUUAAUUUAUUUUAAAAAAAUCUUGGAAAUUUCUUGACAUUUCAGCAUCCUUGACAUUUCAGCCAAGCGAUUGUAACUCCUUCAUAACAAGAGAAAACUUCUCUAGACACAGCCCAAACACGUCAUCUUUAGAGAUACAAUUAAACAAUGACACGUCAUUAAAUUGUGGGUUUCACUUUAUUAAUUCGGAUUCUUUUUUAAUACUCUUUCUCUUUUUCUCUUCAUUCUCUCCACCAUUAAAUUGUGGGUCCCACUUCAUUAAUUCAGCUUUAAUGGUGGAGAGAAUUGAGAGGAAGAGAGAAAGAAUAUGAAAAAAGAAUCUGAAUUAAUGAAGUGAGACCUAUAAUUUAAUAAUGUGUCAUUGUUUAACUAUGUGUUUCUAAAGAUAACGUGUUAGGGCUAUCUCUAGACAAGUUUUUCUCCCGUAACAAAUGUCAUAAUCAGUCUGCCUUGGAAAUUUAAGUUGUGGGGAGAGAUAUACAUAAUUUUUUAUUUAAGCUAAAAGUAUGAGUAAUAUAUAUCUUAUGAUUAGGUAAAAUGUUUAAGAAAUAAAAUCAAAUUGACAAUUCAAGUCUCACCCAACCAAAAUACUAACAUAAUUAGUAUUUGUCGAUAAAAAAACAUAAGUAAAAAAAUCUAUAAUAUUAAAAACAUAAUUUACAUAUUUAUUGUGGCAUACUUAUUUAAAUUAUAUACAGAAUUUUAUAAGCAAAACUACUAAAUUAAUCAUCUAAGUUAUUUUUUGUUUUUAAUUUGAUAAUGUAACUUUUUUUAUUGUUCCAUCUUUGUCCUGCCAAUUAAUAUGUUUUUCUUCAAACUCUUUCAAUUCUCAAUUAAAACUCACAAUAUUGGUAUCAUUGUGUUCAGAAUGAAAAGAUUUACAAAUUCUCCCUGUGUGAAUACACACCAUUAAAAAUUGAAUUUUAAACUUGGAAAGUAAUAAAAAAAACAACUUAUAUGAUCCAUUUGAAAAUAUAAAUAACUUAAAGGGCUAGUUCAAAAAUAGAAAAUAACUUAACAUCUAUUAGAAAAAACAUUUGGUACCAAUUUAGUAGAUUUGCCUACUUUCAUAUUAUAACAAGAGUUUAAUGCAUGGGCAUGGACACUGUGGAGUUUUACUUAGUCCUCACAUCAAUCUUCACUCUGUACAUUAUUUUUAUUUUAAAGUUAAUAAUCAUAAAUAAAUUAAAAUUGGUCUAUAUGUAUUUGAUAUUAUAUAUAAUUGGUUUUAAGUUCAGAUAAAAAGUAAAAGUUAAGUUAGACAAUCAAUAAGUAAAAUAAAUCUUUGUUGAAUUUUAUGAUACUAUAAUUAUAGUAAGAUGGAAUGUUAAUAUAUAGAAAAAAUUACUUGUGAGUGCAAAACCAAUUAGAUGAUUAAUAAAAGUGAGAGAGAGAUUAAAAAAAAGCCAUACAAGAUUUAUCCAAUAACAUGUUUGAUUGCAUGGUUUGGUAAAUAAGGUUUUAAGGCUUUUACUUUUGAAUGCCCUCUAAAUAUAAUUUACAUUCACACAAUCAAACAACAAAUAUAUAUACUUUUAAAAAAACUUGGUGGGGCACUUGUCCACUAUCACUAAUGUAGAUCCAUCAUUGGUCAUAAUCAUAUGUGAUAUAUAUGAUUUAUGAUUUAUUUGGUUGUUUCUGGUAUAUCCUCUCAAUGAUAUAUACAGCUAUACACUGAACAGAAAAUAGAAAACAUGUUGAGCAAGUUGCUUUAUUGAUCUUUUAUAAUUAGGGCAGGUUCAUUAGUUUAAGACAUAGUAAAUAUUUCUAAAAGGAAUAAAGUGUCUUCUAGUAUAAGAAGAUGAGUUUUAUUUUUUUAUUAGCAAUGAUAUAUUAAAAGAAAAAACGUUAGGAGAACAAGUGGUACUCCUAUCCACGCAAAAUUAUACACGCCAAUUCAAAUCAUGAAAUGUGUUAGAUAAGUUAUCUCAUUCAUCCAUUAAAAUCAUGAAAUGUGUUAUAUUUAAUGAUUUUCUAUAAAAAUAUUUCUAAAAACUAAACAAAGUAAUACAAAUGUCAUACUCUUAGUGGUCAGAGGUGAUAAGUUAUCUCCUUAUAUGAUGAGACAUUUUAUUCUCAUUUAUAAAUUAAAAAACAUUAAUAGUUAGACGUUGAUCUAGUAGUGUAAGACUUCAUUAAAUCUCUAGAAUGACCAAAAGAUUAAGGGUUCGAUUUCUAAAAGCGAUAUUUGUUAGGAGGACAAUCAUAUACUCUAAAAUGGAUUAGUUUCUUACCCAAAAUAUUAUAAAGCCUUGGUUGUACAAAAAAAACAUUGAUCCCACAUAGAGAAAUUUCAUGAUUAGAUGAAUCCAAGCACUUCACUUUUUUACAAGAGUCUUUCUAUUUGGUUUUGGUCGGCAAUGGAGAGAAAACCAAAGAGAAAAGGGUCACAGGGCUUAGCCACUUGCAUGUGCUGGGACAAAAACAAAAGGGACCAUUACAUCAUGUUCCAUUUUUAUUACCAUCACCAGUUCUUUGAAGUUUGCAAUUCAGUCCUCAAAUCAAUAUUCAUUAUAAUAAACAAGUAUAUUGACAGACAUUUUAUUGUUCAAGGUUCCGUAUUUACCUGUAAAAUUUUACAUGCUUUCAAUGUCGAAUAUACUAAUUUCAGAUAGAGAAUAAUGUAUCUUCUCAUAUCAAGAGAUAACUUAUCUUUUUCAGUUAGUAAAAAUGUGAUAUGUGUUAUUUUGUUUAUUUUUAAAAACAUUUUUAUAGAAAAUGAUGAAACAAGACACAUGUCAUGAUUUCAUUGGCAGGAGGAGAUAACUUAUAUCCUUAUACCAGAAGAUACUUCAUUCCCUUUCGGAUAACUUUGCCUAUUAUUUGUAAAAAAAUGUGCACUAAAAAAACAGCCACUCCUUCCCCUCUUCUGUUUUAUUAACACCUCACUCCAAAUCCUUAACUUCCUGUUUAGUGCACUUUGCCACGUCUGGGUCUUAGUAAUAAAAUGUAAUGAUGAGAAAAGGGAACAACAUUUAAUUAAGAGAAAUACGUGGUUGGUAAGUAAUUAAAAGAAAAUUUACAUAUAUCAUAAAUAAAUAGUAUAUAUAAUCAUGUCUAACUUUGUGUGAUGUAAUUAUAGACUAUUAAAUUGCAUUCAACAUAAUCUAAUGAAAAACAUUAUAAUUAUGCACUAUUAAAUUGCAUUCAACAUAAUCUAAUGACAUAAAAUCUAAUAAGAUAUUUCAAUUACAUAUUAAAGUCGUAUUCAAAAUUCAAAUCAUAUAAUUAUGUAAUAUCUUCUAUCAUUUGAUAAUAUAGUCGUAGAAAUUCGAAUGGAUCUUUGAGUCUGAUGUCCUUGUUUGAAUGAAUUCAUGACCAUCUUAAUGGGGAACCAGGAUCUUGUGUCACUAGACAUUUUUGUCCCCAUAUCUAAUUCAAUCAAAUCUUACCAUAUAUAUAUAUAUAUAUAAAUUGUAUUUAUGAUUUUUCUUUUUAAACAUGUGAUAACUUUUAAUUAGGACACAAUAAGAUAUAAAAAGGGACGUGUGAUCUUCAUUUUUUAAUGGUGUUCCCAAUCAAAUGAUUCCAUUAUCAUUUAAGAGUUUCAAUUAUUGGUAAAAAGAGGCAUGGAAAUCUUCAAAUGAAAUUGAUCCAAAAAAUGCUUAGUAAAAAAUGAAUGAGAAUGAAGUGAAGAAAUGAAAUGAGAUGGGUGUCUCAUAAAAUAAUCUGAUGAGUAAGGUGGAGAGUUAAAGGAAUGAAGUGAAUGAGGUUUUGCGUUCGAAUCUUAUUAUAAUAAAUUCAAAAAAAAAUAUUAUAAAGUAAUUUGAUGAUUAAAGAGAAAUGAUAGUGAAUGAAGUUGAGGGUUCGAAUCUCUCUUGCAACAUAGACUUUUUUAUUCAAUCAUAAAGGGAGAAGAAUGAAAAUGGUGACUUGAUUUAUUAACUUCUAAAAAUGAUAAAUGUAAUAAAAAUUAUAUUUGUUCAAUUCCUUAUAUAUCCUUUAUGCAUGUAUUGCAUUUAUAUAACAGUAUAAAUAUUUCAAACUUAUUAGUAGAACUAGUUUUUAACUCAUGGCAUGCAAGUAUUGUUAAAUUUUAACAAUAGUGAUUGUCUCCAUGGUUGAAAAUUUAUUUAUGCAUUAAUUUUCUGAAGGAAAUUUUCUGGUUUAAUUUCAUUUUUUUGAGUAGUUGCACUCCUCAGAUAAAGGGCUUGAUAGAUGUUAAAUACAUAAUUACUAUAUAAUAAGAUAGUUGAUUUUAACAACUCAGGUAUGACAAAAGCUGAAAGUAUUAGAGAUAUGAAUAAAGAUUUCUUGUCGCUUGCCUCAUAUACUUUUUGUGUUAAAAAUAAUAUGAUAUGUAAUUUAAAAUUUUAAAUAUUUAUUAUUAAAUUGUUUUUGUUAUUGCAAAUCUCUAUUCCAUAUAUAUAAUGAUUGAAUAUACUUUCAGAUUGAAUUAUAUUGACACUAGAUAGAGAGCAUGUUUGUCCGGUUGUUUUGGUGGGUGUAUAUUAAGUGACCAGCCAUGUAAAUACAGGACCAUAAUCAUACUUUUAAAAACAACAAAAAUAGCUUGCUUUACUUUGAUCACUUUCAUCUUCUUCUACAUCUUCUCUAUUCCAUUCAUUGUUCCCAUGAGCAAUCCAAUAAGUUGUUCCAUGUGACAUCAUUAAUUCAUUAGACCCACAUAUUUUGACCCUUAGUGUGUACCACAUUCAUUCUUCAUUUGCUACUAAAAUAUAAAUUAACUUUAUAUUAUUUAAACAAUAGAACUAAAUAAAGUGUAUAUAAAGUGGUACAUAUUUUAAGACAAAAAAUGUACUUCUUACAAAAUUUUAAUCUUAAAGGUCUUCUCUUGGAAUACACCUCACCAAAUAUUGAAUGAAAAUAUUUUUGGAAUGAGAUCCAAUCUAGUAAUAGACUUUCUAAUACUGAAAUAUGGGAGAAUAGAUAAAUUUAAAAGUUCUUAACUUAUUUAAUUUAAAAUAAUAGAAAAUUAUGUGUUAGAAUAUGACCGUAGUAUUAGACUUUUUAGCGUUGGAGAGGAUCUCAGCCAUUCAUCGUAAAUUGUAACUAAUUUGUAGUGUAUUGGAAUUGUGGGGUAUAUAUGCAAAAUCAUCAUGUGCUCAUGCAUUUCAAUGCACAUGUAUGAAGAGGACAAUCUUCCUAGGCCAACUGCAAACUUAUAUAGUCCUAGGAGAUGAGAUAAGUACUAUGGUUAUCUAUUGGUAAUAGACAUGCAAUUACCCUCCCAUACUUUUAGGGAUAAUGUGAAAGGCAUUCUAUUAGAAUAAUACAAUGAUGUUAUUGAAUUUAAGAUUUAGAUGAGACACAUACAUAUAGGUAACUACAUGAUACAUCACUAAAAUAUAUGAUAACAAGAAGCUAGUGAGAUGAAAUUGAGGGGAAGAGAGUUAGGUCUAUAAUCAAAAUUGAGCAUGUUCAAUACCACCUCCACAAACAAAAUAAGACAUCAACAAAGAUUAUGUGAGUGUUGCAUUGUUGGCUGCAAUAUUUAUCAGUUGAGAUAACCUCUCCUUGUAAAGCACAAAUAAAUAGGGAGACAUGAGAUCACACUAGUGGGUACCUUUUGUGCAACAAAAGGUUCAAGUUGUAAAAAUUGUAUCUCAUAUAUAGGUUUAAUAGUUAAAUUAUACUGACUAAAUUUUGGAAGAAAUGUCAUUUUGUUAUCAUAUUACUUCUAUUUGAAUAAUAAAUGGAAUCAAAUAGAUAUUAUAUUAAAAAAUAUGACUAUUUCUAAAGUCAUCUUACAUGAAUGGUUAUGUAAAAUGGUUUAACCUUUGGAAAGUCAUUUUCCAUGAAGAAAGGUAUGUGAUGAACCAUUGUGUGAGACUUUUUCAAGACUUCAUCUUCUUAUAUUAAAACUCUUAAAUCUCUUGAUUUAUUACUUAUGAAUGAUAUGAUAUUCUAGAGUUUUUUAUGUUUUGCAUUGAGUUGUAAUAUGCACAACUAAGGUGUAAGAUUGUUACAACAAGGUUAGUUCUUGGAAAAAAAAGACUAUUUGGAGUGAGGUAUCUCAAAUUUAAAUGAAGAUGUGAGUUCUUUGUAAAUAGAGUUGUUGUUGAGGGUAAUUCAACAAGGGUAGAUCUAGAAUUGAGAUAGGAUUGUAAGUGGUUGCUUAUAUUCAAAAACUCAUAUUAAAAGUUUUUUCUAGUAUAAUCAAUAAGGUAAGAAAGUAAUCAUUUUUAAUCAGAUAGCGAGGUAAUUUAUCUCAAUAAAUAUCAAUAUCAGGAAUCAAACAUUUGACUUCUAUAUUAAAAGUAUUACUAUUGUAAUUCCUUGUAAAAUAUUUGUCAACUCUUAACUUAAAUUAAUAUAAACUGAUUUUUUGGAGUUUUCAAACUGUCAUAAUUACACUCUAAGUCCAAUUUUUAUUUUAAGCUUUUAACAUCAGUCCAAAGCAUAUAGUAACAGUACUGACAUAUAAAUAUCUCCAAUUGGGGUAUAAUGGUAAUAACGAAUAGAAAUAAGUUGGAGAUUUAAUGAAACUAAAACAGCAACUAAACUUGCCAAAAGUUGCAUCAUCAAUCUUAGAAAAUUGGAGUUGACUUACUUAAAAUUGGUUCAAACAAAGAUUGUCUAGAGUGGGUCCUUGGCUUGAAUUAUAUACAUAGGUUUAUUCCUUGCUGCUUUUCUCAGCAUUGGAUUUGGUUGAUAUAUCUCAAUCCCUUGAUUUGUGGUAUCAAUAAUAUUGUCUCUAUUAGUGUGGCUAUUAACAAAAGUAGAUGAUUCUCUUGUCUUUGGCUAUUACAAUUUCAGUAUAUUCAAAGUACUUCGUUCUCUACUAAUAUGGGCGUUGGAUCAAGUGAUACAUAUUUGAAUCCCCUUAAGCAAGAACUCGGGUUCGAGUUUUGUGGAUGGAAAAAAUGUCCGUCGAUGGAAAAAAUGUCCGUCAGGAGAAUUAGCCCUACGUACCUGUGGAUAUUACCGGUUCGGACAGGAUUGCCUCCAGUGCGAGGAUACAUGUGGAAACAAAAAAGUACUUUGUUCUCUCUUGUUUUGUAUUUGAUUUUAUAAUAACUACAUUAUAUGUGAUAAGAUACUAAAAUUUGCUUAAAUAGUAACAUUAAUGUUGGUCUAGUUGUGUAAGUUUCACUAGAUUAUUGUUUAUUAUACUGGGUCAAAAAUUUAUUUCUUGAGAGCAACAUUUGUUAGAAUAGACAAUCAUGCACCCUGAAAUUUAUUUCUUGAGAGCAACAUUUUCAAUAAUCAAUACAGCAAAAUGAAAGAAAAUCCAUGGACCAAAUGAGGUUCAACUUAUUUCUAAUAAACUUCAAAACAUUAUUAUGAAAUCUUUUUUUUUUAUCCCAGGGGUACCAAGGAAAUUCUUAAAGAAAAUAAGAAAAUGUGUAUGAUAAAAAAUGAACAUGAAAGUUGAAACCAUGCAGUGUUACUCUAUUCAACCUAUCACAAAGGUGCUUAUUCUACAUACAUCAAACAUCAAAAUUGAUACCAAAAACUUAAAUGGUAAUAUACAAAUAUUACAAAUAGCAUUCCUGAUUAGAAAUACCAUAUUACUUCAUUAAAUAGAUAUAAUUUCACAUUUAGCUAAAUAUAUUUACAAGGAAUGUAAGCAAAAUCACCAACUCUCUAUACAUUACAUUCUAGUGGUGAUCACCAAAAAUAAAUUUAGAAGACACUCAGACCUAACUGCUUUAUAUAUUACAAAAGAACAUGACUCUUACAUACCAAACCUUCUCAAGAUUUGUUUUUUCUGCAUUUCUCUUACACUACUACUCAAAAGAUAUUCUUUCUGGUUAAGUCAUUUAUAUAACUGGUCACACUUGGGCUCCUUUAUCUACACUUUUCUUGAUGGAGUUUAGGCAACAGCAGUGAUGCCGGAAUUCUGGCGAUCCCUGUUGAGGCAAUCAAAUCCUUCUACUCUAACUGCAGCUGGUUUAAGUCCAAAACUCGUCCGAACACAUCCACCUUUACGAGAUGCUGAAGACGGAGAGGAUAAACCGGAUGGUGACAUAGGAGUAUGCUUUUCAUCUCCAAAUCGAGCAUCCUGGAUCAAUGGGUUAGCAGCCCGGACAGGAGGAGAGCCACGGAAAUAUGGAGGAGAUGAGGCUACCUGAUUUGAUAUUUCAUCCCCAUGACUUUCCUGUUGAAAUCGAGAUACAAUUAAUAAACCAAUAUUGAGUCAAAGAACAUUCAUUAGAUCAAAAUCUAAAUAUAUGGAAAGACUACAUCUCUUUCAGCCAAAAUCAGAAUUAUGAACAUGAAAUAUAUCAAAACUUGUCUUCCCAAAGAAACAAAGCAUAUAUCAUAAUUCAUGUUGAAAAUUCAUACAUAGUAACAUCGAGUAAUGAAUUCAAAAUUUAUGGAAAACUAAAUCUCUUUCAGCCCAAAACCAUUCUAAGAAGUUACGAAAUAUCAAAACUUCUAACCUCAAAGAAAGCAUUUAUCAUAUUAAAAAUUCAUGCAUUAUUAGUAAUGUCUCGUAAGAAGUCAUAAACUAUUAAUGCCCCGACAAUUUUUCCCACUUGAAAUUUCUUUACCUGCCUACUAGGUUCAAACUAUAAACUUAGAUCGUGAGACUAUUGGCACUCCCAUAUGCCUAUUCACACUCCUCUUUAACCAAUCAUAAUUUAAUAAACUAAAAAACUUGAUCGGUAAGGUCGUAAGGAGUGUGAAUAGGCAUUUUGGGGUGUCAAUAGCCCUACACCUAGAUCAUUUGUAAUGAAAUCAUAAGUUACCUUCUUGAAAAUAAUGUCCAGCAGAUCUGCCCCGGCUUUUGAAUCAGACCAAUCAGCUUGUUGACUAAAACAAAUUGAAACACAUAACAGAUUAGAUCCUCAAAGAGAUUUAAAAUAAAACAAUAUCAUCAAAACUUAAACGACAAGCAAUAGAUUCUAGGAUUUACUUCAAAUGCCAUCUUAAGGGCCUAAUAGCCAUGUUAGAUAAAACCCCGACUCGGCGUGGCUUAGGGCAAACGACAGACUCCUUCUGAUCUGAUAGGUUAACAGAGCCUCUCAUCUCUUCACAGGCUGCGAAGGCAUUCUGACGAAGACUGUAAUAGUUCAUCUUCAAAUUUGGUUUUAUUGCAGAGUAGAGCGCCUAAACACACAAAAUAGAACAUAUAAACUAAGAAAAUGUCCGAAUAUAUACACAAAAAGAAGAAGAUAAGGCUUCAAUUUAUGAACAUUUCCAUUUAUCCUGAUCAAUAAAAUUAAAAAAAAAUAAAGUAGUGAAAGAAUUUCCAAAACCCAUUUCACUCUUUUCAAUUUUCAAAACCUGCAGACAAGGGUAUAAUCAUAUGCACAGAUUAACAAUAGAUCUGAUCUCAAACCUUGAAAAAGGUUCAAACUUUGACCCUGAUGAUGAAAAUUCCAUGAUAAAUCAGUAAAUAUCCAACAUUUAAUAAUUUAAGUUACCCACCUAAAAAUCAAUGCACCCCUUUAAAAAAUGUAACCAUAGAACAAAAAAAUGGGGUUUUCAUUAUACUCUUCUUCAAUUACUGAACAAAAAACCAUUUUCUUAAGAAAACAGACAAAAAAAGAAAGAAGAUCAAACAUUUGACCAGAUCUGUCCCAAAAAAAACAUGCCAUGUUUGUCAUUUCAAAUUUCAAACAAUACCCAUUUAUUAAAAUUUGAAGAAACUUUGGUAUUAGAAAAUGGGUCAGAUCUGAAACUAUAAACAAAAAAAUGUGGAAAAAAAAACAUGAACAUGUUAGAGAGAGAGAGAGAGAGACCUUUGAGGGAAUCCUGUGAAAGAAGAAAUCAAAGGAGCUGGCAGCAAUGUGGAAGGAGAGGAAGAAAACACUGUCAACUCAAUCUUUCAAUUUAUAGUAUAGAAUUAUGUUGUAAAAUGACCUUGUACGACGUCGUUUACACUACAUUGUAUUUAUAAUAGUUUUUUUAUUGUUUUGUCAAUUAAUUAUAAUAUACUAGGACAAUGUUUCAUGCACUUGCAAAUUGCAAUUACCAGCUAUAGCCAGUAGAUUUAUAAUAUAAUUAAUUUUCUUAAAAAAAAGUUGUUGGGUUGUGAUAUGUAAAAAUGUUUUUUCUUCUAGAAACAAAGCUUAUGUGGCAUAAUAUUUACUCUUAAAUAUAGAUUUGUUUGUACUAAAGAUGAUUUUUAAUCUUUAAAAAACUUGUGAAUUGCUAUUGUUUGUUUACUUUAUAGCUCACUAUUGAUUUAGGGAUAACUGCUUCUAAUCGAAAAAUAUUACAUUAGCUAAAUCAAAUUAGGUAUGUGUUAGAUGUUUGCAUGUUUAUUGUUAUAGGUGCAAAUUAGUUGAAUCAAGUUUGGUUCAAUUCAAUUUUUUGUCCAUGACUUGCUCAAUUCAACUUAACACAUUAAGGAGUCAUUCAUGAACUUUUGAGCAAGUUAAUUUACUCAAAUUUAUGUCAAUGAAUAACUCCAAUAAUAAUCAUUUAUAAAGAUUUAGAGAAAAAAAAUUAUUACUAACCGUGUAAAAUUUUUAUAUGCUGUUACUUCAUCAUUCAUUUUUAAAGAGAAAUAAUUUUUUACAUCAACAAUGUAUAGAUAUUUCACUCAAAAAUUUAAUGAGAUUAUUAAUUUUAAUAUUAUAUAUACUAAUAUAAAAAGUAGGUAGGUAAUAAUUAUAAUAUAUUUUAAAUAUAUAAAACUGAAUCCUUUAAAUGGUUUGUAUGUAUAUGUUAAUUUUAGUAUAACAUAUACUAUAUCAAUAUAAAAAGUUAAAAACUACUUAAAUUUUUUUAAAUUUGUAAAUAUAAAGAAAAUGGAAUUUGAAAUUGGAAAUAUUAACUUUAAUAUAUACGUGUGUCUGUAAUAUUAUGUUUGUAUGUUAAUAUAAAAAGUAUAUAUAUAAUAAUUAUAAAAUACUUUUAAAAUAUGUUUAUAAUAUAUAUAUAUAUAUGUGAAAUGAUUCAAACAAAAAUAGUUCACAUAUAAAAAUUUUGAUAAAAAUAAAUCUUAGUCAUUUAACUUUACAUAUAUUAUUUAGAUUAAAAGUUAAUUAAUGAUAACAUCCUUUAAAAAGUGAUGUGUGUUUAUAUUUUAAUUUAGAGUAAAUAUUGAUUUUAGUCCCUCAUAUUUUUUUACUUUACCAGUUUAGUCAUUCAAAAAAUGAAAGACUUAAAAUGGUCCAAAAAUUUCAAAUGUGAGUUAAAUUAGUCCUUUUGGGGUCAAAUUAGUGUUUACCAAGUGUUGUAAAACAUGCUAAAAAUGACUAAUUUGACCAACAUUUAAAAUUUGUUGGACCAUUUUAGGUCUUUUCUUUUUUGAAGGAUUAAACUAGUAAGGUUAAAAAAUAUAAGAGACCAAAAUGAGUAUUUACUCUUUAAUCUAAUCAUUCAAUAAUUUACAUAGUUGUCGUUUUUUCUAACAAUAAUAUCACUCAAAUAGUUUUCCUAUAUAUAUUAUUAUAUACACAUAUAUGAUUAGGGAUGGAAUCAAAUAAGAAUAAUUAUCAUAUAAAAACUAAACUUGUAAGAAUAUUAUAUGAUGGGUCAUAUAACCAUGCAUAAUUGUUUAUGAUUAAAAAUUAGUCAAUAGAAAUAUGAUCACUAAAAAAGGGAGCACAUUUGUUAUCUUAGAAAGUGUGUUAUUUCAUAUGUCAUUACUUAUGAUUGAUUAAAAAUGAUUUUAAGUUAAAAUUUUAAUAAUUGAAUAAUUUUUUUACCAAUUAAAAAAGAUCAAAUGAUUCAUAUUAAUUAUUCUUAUUUUCAACGAUCAAAAUAAUCAUCUACAUAGUGAAUCAAAUUUUAAACAAAUGUCCAAUGAAUUUAGUUCAUUUUCCGUCCUACUUACUUUGUUUAAUUAACCAAGCAAUUUACAUCCUUGCAAAUAAAUUCAUGGUAUUUGAUAUAUUAGGUUGUUGUACUAUUCUCACUUUUAAUAAAUUAAUUGAUAUAUUAGGCACUAAAGUAAUGAUUAAUUAAACAAAAUAAUUCAAUAAAGUAAUCAGUCUUAUUAAAUUUGGACUGAUCAAUGAUUCAGUUAGGAUAUUAAAUCACUGGUCCAACGAGUGAGUCAAUAGUUGGACUAAUUGACUUGAUUUAUAUGAAUGUUUUAAAAAAUCAUAAUACUAACAAAUAUUAUUUAAUAACUUUGUACUCUAAAAUUUAAAACAUUAUCAUACAUGAUUAAACAAUCAACAAAGAAUAUAUCACUACUAUGAAAUGUCACAAGUUGAAAACAUCAUAAAACAACAUAUGUGUUAUGUUUUAAUUGCAACAAAAACAUUAAUUUAAAACUUUAAUUAAACAACGGAAGUUUUGCUAUAAUGUAAUAUAAUAAAUGACAAAAGUAACUACAAAUAAGUUAAAAUCAUUUCAUUUUUUAUGUCAAAACUACUUGUUUCGAUUGUUUUAAAAAAUAUUUUUUUUUAAUUGACUCAGUUAGUCCAACCAUCCAAGUCACAUGUUUUAAGCAUAAGCCAACAGUGUCGAACUGAGUCAAUCUAACUUAAUACAAAAUCAGUUAGAUUGAAGGCUAGAUCAAUUAGACGUCAAAUUCACAAUUGAAUUGGUUGGACCGACUAGUCCGAGUCAAGUUUUAUAAUAAUGAAAGUAAUGGUUAAAACUCAUAAGGCUUAAUUUUGGCUUGCUCAAUUGACCUUUAUUUCAUGAAUUAUAUUAUUAUAUCUCUAAAAUUAAUCUAUCAUUAUCACUGAUUUAGUGUAUAUCAUUUUCAACACAAUAAUUUUUGUAUAUUUCAUUUUCUAAAUUUCAGUAUAUAUUAUAUAAAUUUUAUUUAUAUUAAUAUUAAUCUACAAUAAUAAAUUUAUUGAAUUAUAAAACAAGUUGCUCGUCCAAACACUAGAAAUAAUAAUAUAAGUAAUUAUUUGUGUGUAAGUUAUUUACAUUUCUGCAUAAUUAAACGUGAUAUAAUAUAAGUAGUGAUAUAUAUUAUUAAAAAAUACACUCACAAAAUUUAAUACAGGUAAGAAGGUGACAUACAUAACUUAAACCAUUAAUAAGUGUAACAUAUAUCCUUUCAAAAGUAAAGUAUGUAAGAAAAGUUAUAAAUAAAGUUUUCUUGAAACAUAUAACAUUUUCUAAAUACAUGCUAGCGAUUACUAACAAAAAUGGACAAAGAAGUUGUGUUACAAUCAGCAGCAAACAUAUGUGUUAAUCAUAUAUCAAUAGUUGUCUAUCACAUUCACUCACCAAUCCUCAAUCAUCUCUUUUUAACCUUCUACCACUACUUUCUCUCCACACAUCUCUCCACUUUUUUUUAUUACUAUCAAGAUAUCCACACACACUAGAAUAACAAACUAAUUUAUUUUGGGUGUGUGAUUUCCAUCUCAAUAACUAUCAUUCAUAAUAAUUAAACCAUUAAUCUUUUAGUUAUCUCAAAAUCUAGUAAAAUCUGACAUUAUUAGACCAACAUCUUGUUGAUCAUAUCUCUCUACCUUGAUCUAUGAGAUAUUUGUAUUACUAAUUAUAUUUAUAUAUUUUUAAAUUAGUUUUAUUUAUAUUUUCAAGUUUUGAUAAAAUAGUAAAAAAGUCAAAUUUCUAAUUUUAUUAUUAAAAAAUCUAUCCUUUUUAAAAUAUUGAAUAUAUUUGGUAUAUCUUUUCAUACCGGUGGAAUUGUUAUGCUUAUAACUCAAAACAAUAUCUUAAACUCUCUAUCAAACAUUAUCGUUAAACAAUACAAACCCAUGAUCAACUUUCUUACUAAGAAAACAAACCAAAAAUAUUAAAUUAAAUUUAAACUUCUCAAUCUUAUAUGAUAAUAAGGAGGGAAUUCACUUGCUCCAAAAGUUCAUUUAAAAAAUUAUUCCAUAUUUUAGUCAUUAAUUUAGAAAUUCUAAUAAUUUAAAUUAGUAAAUAAAUCUAAAUAAUUAGAUUUUCCUAAAAUUAAUGACUAACUAAAUUUUAAAUUUACAUUUGGAAUAAGUCAAUUCACUCUCUAGUAAAAAAGCUACAACAAAGUUUUUAACUUAGUCAUAACAAUAUACUUUCAUUAUAAGAAAACCAAUUAUAAAAGUAAUUUUUAUUCUCUUUUUUUAUUAAUAUUUUUUUUGCAAAUCUAAUUCUUCCAUAUAUUUUACUUUUAAACUUUCGAGUGGGAUUUGGCUUACUUUACAUCGUAACAAAAAACAAUAUAAGAUUUUUAAUUUAUCUAAAUAAAGUAAUGACUAAUUCACCAAAAUAAUUAAAUAAAGUAAUGAUUGAAACCCAUAAGGCUCUCACACCCAUCAAUUCAUUAGGGUUACUUUCUAGAUCACAACCAAAAACAAACAGAUUUUCUGAUUUAUUAUAUUUUGACGAAGUAAUGAUUGAUUAACCAAAAUAAUUAAAUAACAUAAUGAUUAAAACCCAUAAGGCUCUCACACCCAUAAAGUGAUUUGGCUUACUUUCCAGUUUGUAACCAAAAAAACAUCUGAUUUUCUCAUUUAUUUUCAAUAAAGUAAUGAUUAAUUAAACAAAAUAAUUAAAUAAAGUAAUGAUUAAAAGUUAUAAGUCCCUCACCCAUAGAAUAAUGAAUUGGAUUAUUUUCCAAUUGUAAUUAAUACCCUCAAUUUUCUAUUUUCAAUGUGAGUGAAAAAGAUAAAUUUAUUUUUGUAGAGUUAUCUAAGAUUUUUUGGACGGUCAUUUCGUAUUUUGAAUUAUUAUCUAAAAGAUUUAUGAUUUGUUGUUUAUUUUAAAGGGAAAAGUAUAUAAAAAAUGUCUUUAGCAAGUAAUUAUUAUGAACUAUUUUUUCUUCAUAAUUACGCUUUAAACUUUAAUAUUUGGUAAAAUUAGCCUCUCUAUAAAUAUAUUGUUAAAUUGCUUAUAAGUCUACAUAGAAAUGGAUGCAACCAAACUCACAACAGUAGCAAUGUAACAAAACAUGUUACUCACCAUUGAUAUCUACAUAAAUUGCAUCAAAAUAAAAAAUUGACCAAAAAAAUGAUGAUAAUAUUGACACAUAUAUAUAAUUAAAUAAUAAUGAUCUAACAGGGUAAAAAAAUGUAUGAGUUGGAAUUUUUCAUUGCUAUUAAUUUAAAAUUAUCAUCAUACAAAAACCAAUUUCACAAACACUUAAAUUUUAAAGGGUAAUAUGAAAAAAAUAGUUCAUAGUAGUUACUUACGAAAGACCUAAAAUUUAGGAUAUUUGUUUUUAUAGAUUUUCCUAAUUCAAAUAAGUUGUUUUAUCCGUUAUCUCACAACCAAAUUAAUCAAAGUAAUUUUUUAUUAAACAUAGUAUUUAUUAAAAAAAAAUUAAUUCUAGAAUUAGGUACAUGAAAAUUGGUAUUGAAUAUAUUUUAUGAGUAUUUAACGUAUUCAUAAUAAUAUAUUAAGUAACAUAUAACAUUAUUUUAAAUUUAAUUUUGAUUUGAAUAAUUAUGUUAUUAUAAUGUUUAUCAUAAAAUAUAUUAAUCAUAUUUUUUGUUGUUCUUUUGAUCCAUAUUCCUAAUUGUACAAUAUUUUCCUUACAUUUUAAUCUUUUCAAUCUUUUUAUCCAUUUAUUUUUUUUAUUUUUUUACUUUAAACUUUUAUUAUCUACAUUAAUAUUCUUUUAUCCCAAGUUACACCAUACUUAUCUUAUCAUUUAUUUAUUAUAGUAUUAUGUAUAACUCCAUCAUGUAGCUUUAACUUUUAUUAUUUAUAUAUUUGUAUUUACUUUCUAUUUGAGAGUUAUCCUAACAAUCAUAUUUAUGGAUGAUUUUAUCUCCCUUUGGCUUUAUCUUAAUCUUUUUUUAAUAUCUAAUCCCUUAAACUUCAGAUGUGCUUAUCUGACCUCUAUCAACUGCCAUUAUUAAAUUUUUGCAUACUUUCUUCACAUCAAAAAUAACAAAUGUAUUGACACUCUUGAAUUCAUCUCAUAGUUAUUCCACCUUUCUAUAUAUACGUUUUCUUUUAUGUAAUAGUCACACUUCAUCUUUGUUUUACGCAUAGAUGACCUCCACAUAUCAGUACAAAUAAAAAUUUAUACACAUGAUAAAACUUAGUCUCUCUCUUAUUGGGCAUGCAUGUAUCAUCAUACUCAAUCCCAAAUUAUCAAUCAUUAUGAUAUUUCAUCUUGCUCUAGGUAACCCUCUUGUUUACCUAUUCAUUUAUUUAUUAUUAGUUAAAUUUUGUCUUACUUUAAUAUCUAAUUAAAAAGAGAUGAAAUUGGUUUCCAUAAAAGUGUAACUUUGUUUUCAUGCCUAUUCUUGUAAUAAGUUAAAGUUGAAGUGUUUGGGGUCUUUUUAAAUUGAUGAUGAUUUGCUUAUUUGUUGAUGAAGUGAAGUUUGGGUCAAGUGAAUAGUAGUCAUGAAGUGCAACAAUGUUGAAGUUAUAAGUUAAAGAGGCUUAGACAAGGGAGAAAAACUAAUAUGGUCUUACAAUAUUUGAUUAAAAUACUUCAAUGUCAUUUAAAGAUAGAGAGAGUCUUUGUAGAUUAGAAAACUCCCAUGAAAAAUUGUUUUUCCGGUAAGAGUCCUUAAUAAUUUACAUGACGAUAGAUAGUGUAACAUCCCUAAAAUUACUAUAUUUUUAUAAUUAAUUUUUUAACCAUAUAUUACAGUUUUAUCUUAUGACAAAAUAAAUACAAUAAUAUAAUUAAUUUACUUUAAGAAUGAAUCUCAAUAUAAAGAUAAGAAAUAAGUAUAAUGAUAACGUAUGUACAAUGAUGUAAUCAAUUAACUAUAUUAAAAUAAUUUUCAUGUUAACUAGAAGUAUAUCGGUUGCAAUGCUAAAAAAGUAUAAUACUAUUAAAGUCAAAUUAAUAUUAUACAAAGACAUAAAAUAAAAAAUAAAUCAAAUCAAAUAAUUUGAAAUGAAAAAAUGGAAUAACAUGUAGACGAUUAUUGGAGGAAUGAAAAUUUUAUCCAUGACAAAUUAAACAUGAAGAAGUUGGGAGGAAGGUAAAUGUUAACAUGUGAUAAAAAUUAUAAUGAGUGACUAUAGAGAGAGAAAAUAUUAAAAUGUUUUACUCGUGAGUUCUUUAUUUUAUGAAAAUUUUACGUGUGAAAAAUUAAAUAUGAAAAAAUUAUGAGGAAAGUGGACAAGAUGUUAAUUCGUGUUAAAUAAGUAAAAUGAGUGAUUAAAAAAAAGAGAAAAAUAUUAAAAAAAUCUUAUAUAUAAAAUUUUCAAUUUGUGGAAAAAUUACCUUUAAAAAAUUAAAGGUAGAAAAUUUGUGAGGAAGAUAAACAAAUUAUUAAAAAAGUACGAUGAGUUACGGGAGAGAAGAAUAUUAGAGAGAUCUUACUCUCAGUUCUCCUAAAUAAGUAAUAUCUAUCAUUAGUCGAAGUACAAUGGUUGAACGUUUUUACCAAUAGUGGAUCAUGUGCAACAUGUGUGAUUAAACAUCAAGGUUAUAGUUUAAAGAAUUUGAAUAUGCUCAAUCCUUGUUCUGUGAUUAUGCUCAAGUUUCUGGACAAUGUAUGAACUUUAAUAAAUGCAAGUUCUACACUCAAAAUGCCUCUGCUAGAAAGAUCAACAACCUUAAGGAUUGGUUGGGUUUCAAUAGAGGUAGCCUUCCUGUUAAUUACCUGGGAGUUCCCCUGUUUAUAGGCAAGCCUAGAAGGAUUCAUCUGCAACCUUUGGCUGAUAGGAUCAUUAACAAGCUUGCUGCUUGGAAAGGUUCUUUGCUAUCUAUAAUGGGAAGGGUGGAAUUGGUUAGAUCUGUCAUACAAAGCAUGAUGCUGUACUCAUUCCACAUUUAUGCUUGGCCUGCACAAUUGCUCAAAAUAGUUGACUCUAGCAUAAGGAACUUCAUCUGGUCAGGGGAUACCAAAACCAGAAAGAUUGUCACAGUGGCAUGGGCUACAGUUUGCAUUCCUAAAAAAGCUGGAGGGCUUGGCCUGAGAUCCAUAAAGAAAAUCAACCAAGCCUCUCUCAUUAAGCUAGCCUGGAAUAUGCUUAGUUCUAACCAACAGUGGGCUUCUUUCUUUAGGGAAAGGUUUGGUUAUUAUUGGUCAAUCAAAAAGUACUUCAAAUCAUCAAUAUGGCCUGGAAUCAAAAGCAACAUGUCCUUUGCCACUAACCAAUCUGUUAGGCUCAUAGGUAAUGGCAAGGACACCAAUUUCUGGAGGGAUAAUUGGAUAGGAAGUCCUAUAGUGGAUCUUCUCAAUAUUCCUGAUCAUAUUCACCCCAAGCUAAUCAGUUCAGUGGCUGAUUUCUCUACAAAUAAUGACUGGAAAAUUCCUCAGGAGUUGUUUCAAAAGUUUCCAGCAGUGGUUUCUAGUAUUUGCAGCACUAAACUAUCUAAUUACAAAGAUAGAAUCUUCUGGUCAGAUUCUACUGAUGGCUCUCUAUCCCUCAAGGAUGCAUACAAGAGCAUCAUGCCUUCUUCUGAUCCAAGGCAGUGGUGCAAGUUAAUCUGGUCUAGAUAUAUUCCUCCAUCAAAAUCCUUCACCCUUUGGAGGCUUCUAAACAAUAAAAUGCCCUCAGAUGAGAACCUACAAGCUAGGGGAUGCAUUUUAGCUUCUAAAUGCAAUCUUUGUCAUGGCCAUGUUGAAUCAUCUCAGCACCUAUUUCUCUCAUGCCCCUUUGCUGCUGCAAUCUGGGAUUGGUUAUCCAAUCAAUUCCAAAUCUCUAUAGACACAUCUUCUGCUGCUAAUCUCCUGCUUGCUGUCAAAGGAAGUGACCAAGUGCAAUUCCUCAUCACUGCUGCAAUAGUGCUUGUUGUUAACACAAUUUGGCACUGCAGAAAUUUGAGCAGGUUUCAGGACAAACAAUUGCUUCUGCCUCAAGCUAUCAACAGAAUAAAGAGCUCCCUCACUCUGGCUGGUAACUCUUCCUCGGCAAUAGCUAGUUCCUCUCUUCUGGAUUUCUCAAUCAUAAGGUCUCUAAAGGUGCAAGUAAACUAUAGAAAAUCUCCUUCAAUCUUGGAGGUGAAUUGGAAGCUGCCUCCCUUUGGAAGAGUGAAAAUAAAUACGGAUGGGGCUGCUAGAGGCCAUCCAGGGCAUGCUGGAGGGGGAGGAAUAUUCAGGGAUCACAAUGGCUUGUUCAUGGGUGCUUUCUCUACUUAUUUUGGCAUACAUGAUGCUCUCUAUGCUGAGCUUUCUUCAGCCUUUUUAGCAAUCCAAAAGGCUCACAGCAUGGGAUGGCACACAAUUUGGCUAGAAUGUGACUCAUUGUUGGUCACAAAAAUUCUCCUAGGUACUAUGGUGAUCCCUUGGAAAUUAAUGUCAACCCAAAUUAAUAAUUUAUUAUGGGCUAAGCCCCUUGCUUAAAAAAAAAAAAAAAUUUGAAUAAUGCUCCGCUAUAGUUUUUAUCAACCUUAAUGAAUGAUUGAACGGUAUAGUUUUUUCAGCGAAUAUUUAUGCAUUUUCAUUAUGUAUUUACUCACCCAAAAACGUAAUAAGGCAUGAAUGCAUGAGUAAUUAAUUUAUACACCAUGGAGGAUUAAACAUCAAAAUCAUUGAACAUCAAGGUUAUAGUUUAAAGAACUUGAGUAAUAUAUGCUUUGGACGUUAUGGUGUUUUUACCACCGUUAAAGAAUGACUGAACAUUAUAGUUUUCUAAACGAAUAUUAGUGGUUGUCAUUAUUUAAUUUACUCAACAAAAAAAUCUAAUAAGCCAUAUUCUUUUUAGUAAUAACACUUAUUUACUAGUAAUUGAUAUAUCCUUUGUAGUAAUAUGACUUAUUUAGUAAUAAAUGAUUUUGUCGGCUGAAAUGUUUUUAAUAUCCAGUUUUAUGUUAUUACAAAGUUAGUCCUUUUAAAUCCAACUGUCAAAAAAUGGAGAUAUCUAUUUUAAUAAAAAUAUCAGUCUCUUUCGUCAUAUUAAGUAGAUAGUAGAUGUUUUUUCUUAGAAAUUAUUAUAUUAUAUUUCUUUAAUCCGCAUGGUUAAAUGCAAGUUGAAAUAGAUUGUGAUUCAUAUAAAUUUUGUUUACUAUAUCAAAAGUUUUGAGCACCAUUCUCACUCAGAAAUGAGUCUAAAAAAUGAGUCUCAUAAAUGAUCCCCAUGUAUGAAAAUAUUAGUCAUAAAAAAUACCUUUCAUCACAAUCAACCAAUAAAAGAAUAAUUCUACCGCUAAUUUUGUAAAAUUUAUCUCAACCCACUUAAAAUAAUAGAAAGGUAACUAACAACGUUUUUACUAAGUUUAGUAGAUUGUUUUUAUUUUUAUUUUCAUUUCUUAAAUUAAAUAAUAGAUUUCAUAGAUUCCUUUUCCAUUUAAAAAAAUGAUAUUAAAAUUAGGAAUAUUUGUUUAAGAAUGGCAAGAGUUGUGAGAAUUUUGUUGAUGGAUCACACAAAACACAAACCCAAACAAAAUAAAAAAAAUAGAUAACCAAAUUUAAAAACAUAAAAUAACUAUUAUAGGAUAUUUGUAAUAUUUUUAACUAACAAACGAUAAAAUUAGCCAGUUUAAAUUCAAGUUCAAGAAAUGGAGAUAUCAGUAAAAACAACAGUUACUUUUUUUUAUAAUGAUCCAAAAAAGUAUGAUUUUUCUAGAUUUUAUUGCUGCAAGAGAAUAAUGUAUUUUUAGUCUCAAUAGUCUAAGUAGAUGAAAUGACUUUUAUUUUGCAUAUUGUUGAUAUAUAUAUAAAUGUCUAUAUAUUUUUUUCAUAAGUAAUCAAUUGUAUUACAAAAAAAACGUAGAGACAUAAGUUAAAUUUGGUUUUUUUUGCAAAGUCACUUAAAAAAUAAAAGUUUUAACUCAUAAAAAUUUCUAAAUUUAUAAGAGCAUAAUAAUUGAUAAUCAAUUUUUAUAUAACUCUAAAGUUCUUAAGAAAAUCCUUAUGAUGGCACCAUGUGUUUUUGCUUCUUAUUUGUUCUUGAAAACUUCCUAAUUAAUUUUGAUUUAUUUGCCCAUGGUUUUGGUUAUGAAAUAAUAUUGCAUAUCUCUUACCCAUAUAUGAGAGAUACUAGUGACAAAUAUAACAUAAAUAAUUUUUUUUGUAGAAACAUAAAUAAAUAUACGAAAUGAUUAAAAUAUAACUUAAUUUAAUCUAAUACUAUAAAAUUUACACCACUUCAAAGUAAUUAUGAAAUUGAUGUGCAGCUAAUUUAUGCAUUUGAUUACUAUUUUUACCUAAGAAACUUA